RNAcentral lists this ribosomal RNA (427 nucleotides) under uncultured bacterium. RNAcentral describes it as "partial 16S ribosomal RNA". It matches the Rfam family "Bacterial small subunit ribosomal RNA", at positions 354 to 796 of the family's 1533-position model. The record is from RNAcentral.
GUGGGGAAUAUUGGGCAAUGGGGGCAACCCUGACCCAGCGACGCCGCGUGAGGGAAGAAGGCCUUAGGGUCGUAAACCUCUGUUGUGUGGGAAGAAGGAAGUGACGGUACCACACGAGGAAGUCCCGGCUAACUACGUGCCAGCAGCCGCGGUAAUACGUAGGGGACGAGCGUUGUCCGGAAUUACUGGGCGUAAAGGGCGCGUAGGCGGUCAUUUAAGUCAGCUGUGAAAUGGUCCGGCUCAACCGGAUCAUGCGGUUGAAACUGGAUGACUGGAGUGCUGGAGAGGCAAGUGGAAUUCCCAGUGUAGCGGUGAAAUGCGUAGAUAUUGGGAAGAACACCGGUGGCGAAGGCGACUUGCUGGCCAGCAACUGACGCUGAGGCGCGAAAGCCAGGGGAGCAAACAGGAUUAGAAACCCGAGUAGUCC